UACGGAGGGGGCGAGCGUUAUUCGGAAUUAUUGGGCGUAAAGGGCGCGUAGGCGGCUUGAUGUGUCAAAGGUGAAAUCCCUCGGCUCAACUGAGGAACUGCCUUUGAAACUGUCUGGCUUGAGGCCGGGAGAGGGUAGCGGAAUUCCCAGUGUAGCGGUGAAAUGCGUAGAUAUUGGGAGGAACACCAGUGGCGAAGGCGGCUCACUGGACCGGAACUGACGCUGAGGCGCGAAAGCGUGGGGAGCAAACGGG
This 253-nucleotide ribosomal RNA is filed under the name uncultured bacterium. RNAcentral describes it as "partial 16S ribosomal RNA". It matches the Rfam family "Bacterial small subunit ribosomal RNA", at positions 524 to 776 of the family's 1533-position model. The record is from RNAcentral.